UAAUGUAUAGUUAACGUGCCCCUUAGAGUGGGAUAACGUCUGGAAACGGACGCUAAUACCACAUACUCCUUUUGAUCAUAAGUGAUAAAGGGAAAUGAAUUUCGCUAAGGGAUCGGACUGUAUUGUAUCAGCUAGUUGGUAAGGUAAUGGCUUACCAAGGCUAUGACACAUAGCGGGUCUGAGAGGAUGAUCCGCCACACUGGUACUGAGACACGGACCAGACUCCUACGGGAGGCAGCAGUGGGGAAUAUUGCACAAUGGACGCAAGUCUGAUGCAGCAACGCCGCGUGGAGGAUGACACAUUUCGGUGCGUAAACUCCUUUUAUAAGAGAAGAAAAUGACGGUAUCUUAUGAAUAAGCACCGGCUAACUCCGUGCCAGCAGCCGCGGUAAUACGGAGGGUGCAAGCGUUAUUCGGAAUCACUGGGCGUAAAGAGUAUGUAGGCUGGUUUUUAAGUCAGAUGUGAAAGCCCACGGCUCAACCGUGGAACUGCAUUUGAAACUGGAGACCUAGAGUAUGGAAGGGGCAGAUGGAAUUAGUGGUGUAGGGGUAAAAUCCGUAGAGAUCACUAGGAAUACCGAAAGCGAAGGCGAUCUGCUGGUACAUUACUGACGCUAAGAU
Molecule: ribosomal RNA, 621 nt
Filed under: uncultured bacterium
Lineage: Bacteria
Description: bacterial SSU rRNA
Rfam family: Bacterial small subunit ribosomal RNA
Source: RNAcentral